AGAAAAUUCUAAAAAUUAUUAAAUAUCUGCUAAAUUUAUCAUCAUGCCAGAAAUUCGAGUUUCAACGCUCCUAAUAGUAAUAAUUUUAUCCGCUAGGGGUGCUGAAAUUCGUUUUAAUUUUUUGGCGCCGAAUGAAAAUUAAAAAUUUUCGCUUGUCUUUUUUACCGCUAGAGGCGCUGAUUUAUAUAUUACAAUUGCUCGAAGCAAGUUCCUCGGAAUGCUUUCAAUAUAUUGUAACACUGUCAUUAUUUCAUAAAUAAUGGGUUAUUUUAAAUUAUUGUCUAUAAAAAAUAUACCAGUCAUCGGGGACCAAAGAGAGGUAACACAUUAUUUCUUAUCCGGCUAGAUUCGUUUUAUAUAUUUAUUUAUUUAAUUAUUUAUGUUAUUGAAUUUCUGUUACUUAAAAAACCAUUGAAUAAAUUUGUGAAAACUAAAUCGCUAUUUCCUUGCAAUAAAUAUUUAUGCCAAGAAUUACUUUUCAAACAUGUAAAUGUAUGUACGUACAUCUGCAUGACCCACAUAUAAUACAUAUAUAUGUAUAUAUAACAUUGCCACAAGCAUGCGCAGUUUACUAGCGCCGAGGUGCGCAACAUAAAUACAAGUACCGUUGGUUGUUGAACAUAAAUAUUUGUUUUACUUUAUUUAUUAUUGAUCAAUGAAAUAGUACGAUUGUUGUCUAUCGCUUGUUACAAGUGACAGUGUUAAGGUUAUUGUCGCUGUCAAAGUUUGUAAACAAAAAAUUAUAAACUUGAUUUCAUUGUUAUGGUCAUCUCGUAAUUUAAAAACAAAAAAACUAUGAUUAUUAAUUAAAUAUUGGCUUGCAGAUGAAAAUAUCGUCACAGAGAAAAGUUGUCAUCUCCAAAAGUUGAUGUUAAAGUUGAAAAAAAUCUUAAGACAGUUGAAGUAAAUAAAAAAGCUACUUAACCACUAACACAAUUUAAAGUUGAUCAAGUUCAUAAUACAGUUAUUUAUUUUUUCAGAUUUCCAUUAGAUAUUUAUU
Cotesia glomerata is the source of this 1000-nucleotide long non-coding RNA. RefSeq lists it as uncharacterized. The record is from RefSeq and is a predicted model, not a curated record. The transcript has 2 exons. NCBI's taxonomy places the organism in Eukaryota, Metazoa, Arthropoda, Insecta, Hymenoptera, Braconidae.